AAGCUUGCUUGUUGGGGUUGUAGGACACUCUAUACGGAGUUACAAAGGACGACAUUAGACGAAUCAUCUGGAAAGAUGAAUCAAAGAAGGUAAUAAUCCUGUAGUCGAAAAUGUUGUCUCUCUUGAGUGGAUCCUGAGUACGACGGAGCACGUGAAAUUCCGUCGGAAUCUGGGAGGACCAUCUCCUAAGGCUAAAUACUCUCUAGUGACCGAUAGUGAACCAGUACCGUGAGGGAAAGGUGAAAAGCACCCCGGAAGGAGAGUGAAAUAGAACCUGAAACCGUGUGCUUACAAGUAGUCAGAGCCCGUUAAUGGGUGAUGGCGUGCCUUUUGUAGAAUGAACCGGCGAGUUACGAUUUGAUGCAAGGUUAAGCAGUAAAUGUGGAGCCGUAGCGAAAGCGAGUCUGAAUAGGGCGUUUAGUAUUUGGUCGUAGACCCGAAACCAGGUGAUCUACCCUUGGUCAGGUUGAAGUUCAGGUAACACUGAAUGGAGGACCGAACCGACUUACGUUGAAAAGUGAGCGGAUGAACUGAGGGUAGCGGAGAAAUUCCAAUCGAACCUGGAGAUAGCUGGUUCUCUCCGAAAUAGCUUUAGGGCUAGCCUCAAGUGAUGAUUAUUGGAGGUAGAGCACUGUUUGGACGAGGGGCCCCUCUCGGGUUACCGAAUUCAGACAAACUCCGAAUGCCAAUUAAUUUAACUUGGGAGUCAGAACAUGGGUGAUAAGGUCCGUGUUCGAAAGGGAAACAGCCCAGACCACCAGCUAAGGUCCCAAAAUAUAUGUUAAGUGGAAAAGGAUGUGGCGUUGCCCAGACAACUAGGAUGUUGGCUUAGAAGCAGCCAUCAUUUAAAGAGUGCGUAAUAGCUCACUAGUCGAGUGACACUGCGCCGAAAAUGUACCGGGGCUAAACAUAUUACCGAAGCUGUGGAUUGUCCUUUGGACAAUGGUAGGAGAGCGUUCUAAGGGCGUUGAAGCAUGAUCGUAAGGACAUGUGGAGCGCUUAGAAGUGAGAAUGCCGGUGUGAGUAGCGAAAGACGGGUGAGAAUCCCGUCCACCGAUUGACUAAGGUUUCCAGAGGAAGGCUCGUCCGCUCUGGGUUAGUCGGGUCCUAAGCUGAGGCCGACAGGCGUAGGCGAUGGAUAACAGGUUGAUAUUCCUGUACCACCUAUAAUCGUUUUAAUCGAUGGGGGGACGCAGUAGGAUAGGCGAAGCGUGCGAUUGGAUUGCACGUCUAAGCAGUAAGGCUGAGUAUUAGGCAAAUCCGGUACUCGUUAAGGCUGAGCUGUGAUGGGGAGAAGACAUUGAGUCUUCGAGUCGUUGAUUUCACACUGCCGAGAAAAGCCUCUAGAUAGAAAAUAGGUGCCCGUACCGCAAACCGACACAGGUAGUCAAGAUGAGAAUUCUAAGGUGAGCGAGCGAACUCUCGUUAAGGAACUCGGCAAAAUGACCCCGUAACUUCGGGAGAAGGGGUGCUCUUUAGGGUUAACGCCCAGAAGAGCCGCAGUGAAUAGGCCCAAGCGACUGUUUAUCAAAAACACAGGUCUCUGCUAAACCGUAAGGUGAUGUAUAGGGGCUGACGCCUGCCCGGUGCUGGAAGGUUAAGAGGAGUGGUUAGCUUCUGCGAAGCUACGAAUCGAAGCCCCAGUAAACGGCGGCCGUAACUAUAACGGUCCUAAGGUAGCGAAAUUCCUUGUCGGGUAAGUUCCGACCCGCACGAAAGGCGUAACGAUUUGGGCACUGUCUCAACGAGAGACUCGGUGAAAUCAUAGUACCUGUGAAGAUGCAGGUUACCCGCGACAGGACGGAAAGACCCCGUGGAGCUUUACUGUAGCCUGAUAUUGAAAUUCGGCACAGCUUGUACAGGAUAGGUAGGAGCCUUUGAAACGUGAGCGCUAGCUUACGUGGAGGCGCUGGUGGGAUACUACCCUAGCUGUGUUGGCUUUCUAACCCGCACCACUUAUCGUGGUGGGAGACAGUGUCAGGCGGGCAGUUUGACUGGGGCGGUCGCCUCCUAAAAGGUAACGGAGGCGCUCAAAGGUUCCCUCAGAAUGGUUGGAAAUCAUUCAUAGAGUGUAAAGGCAUAAGGGAGCUUGACUGCGAGACCUACAAGUCGAGCAGGGUCGAAAGACGGACUUAGUGAUCCGGUGGUUCCGCAUGGAAGGGCCAUCGCUCAACGGAUAAAAGCUACCCCGGGGAUAACAGGCUUAUCUCCCCCAAGAGUUCACAUCGACGGGGAGGUUUGGCACCUCGAUGUCGGCUCAUCGCAUCCUGGGGCUGUAGUCGGUCCCAAGGGUUGGGCUGUUCGCCCAUUAAAGCGGUACGCGAGCUGGGUUCAGAACGUCGUGAGACAGUUCGGUCCCUAUCCGUCGUGGGCGUAGGAAAUUUGAGAGGAGCUGUCCUUAGUACGAGAGGACCGGGAUGGACAUACCUCUGGUGUACCAGUUGUCGUGCCAACGGCAUAGCUGGGUAGCUAUGUGUGGACGGGAUAAGUGCUGAAAGCAUCUAAGCAUGAAGCCCCCCUCAAGAUGAGAUUUCCCAACUUCGGUUAUAAGAUCCCUCAAAGAUGAUGAGGUUAAUAGGUUCGAGGUGGAAGCAUGGUGACAUGUGGAGCUGACGAAUACUAAUCGAUCGAAGACUUAAUCAA
RNAcentral lists this ribosomal RNA (2643 nucleotides) under Staphylococcus aureus M0478. RNAcentral's name for it is "bacterial LSU rRNA". It matches the Rfam family "Bacterial large subunit ribosomal RNA". The record is from RNAcentral. Lineage: Bacteria; Bacillati; Bacillota; Bacilli; Caryophanales; Staphylococcaceae.